This 10634-nucleotide long non-coding RNA is filed under the name Heterocephalus glaber (naked mole-rat). Its description in RNAcentral is "lncRNA (ENSHGLG00100051869.1)". The record is from RNAcentral. Lineage: Eukaryota; Metazoa; Chordata; Mammalia; Rodentia; Bathyergidae.
CGGGGACCUGGAGGAUCCGGAGGCUCGUGGACGGGGUCUAUGCCUCGGAGCUCUCCCUGGCUUCCUUGUCCUGCGACCCACAGGGCCCCUUCACCUGCGCCCUGGGGCACCCUGCUGCUGACAUGGCCUCUUCUUAUCCUGCCAACUCGGACUUGGUCAGCAUUUUUUGUUUGACAGUAUCUGUCAAGGUUUGAUUUUGCUUGAGAAAUAAAUGAAUCCUUAGAACAAAUUAAGAUUAUUCAAUAAAGGAAGACAAGUCACCGUUUAACCUCUGGAGUGAACUUCAGUGAGUGUUUACUAGAGAAACAAAUAUAAGACAAAAUGUACAAGUAUAUAAGAAUCGACAAGACUGGCGUGCAGUGGCCUCCCACAGAAUCGGAUGAGGAAGAGUGCAGAGGGUCUGUCUGCACACUGGAGACCGAAGGAUCCGGCUGAAGGUCCAGAGCUCACUGCAGUGUCCCGUGCGAAUCUGUGUUAGGAGGCUGAUGGGUCUGAGAUGCCGGAAGGCUGAAGGAUCAGUGUGAGAGGCUGAGGAGUCUGCACUGGAAGCCAAGAGAUGAUGUCCAAGGUGAAGGCAAAGACUGGAGCUCUUCCAAAGAAGCAGAAGCAGACCCAUCCUUCUUCAUCUCCCCUUUCUACCAUCCAGGGACAAGCUGCCCUAGGGUGGGUCUUCCACACCCUAGGGUAUGGAUUUGCUGAGCCAAUUAAGUUGAGCUUCUCUUACUCAAGUUGACACAAUCAAUCAACCAUCACAUUUCCUACUUGGGAGAAACUAUAAAUAUGCAUUCUUUUUUUAUCUUGUUUUCUUUUUGUAUCUUGUCUUUUUGGCACCCAACUCUCUCCAUAUUACUGAGAAGAUAAUUUGGGUCCUUGUGUGGUGCUUCUUCUGAUGGAGAUAAUACAAGCCCAAAACCGGUAAAAGCAGCGUUUUGGAAAAGGAAGGCCCAGAAGGCUGAGCGUGAAUCCUUGAGACAUCAACUUAGGUAUGUGUGGGGGCUGUGGGAAGUAUUAUUACCUGGAACAGUCUUCAAUCUGUAGACCCAAACCUGUCUCUAGCAGGGCGUUUCUCUUAGGAACUUACCAGAUCACGCGUAGAUUGUUCUCAGGCAGAAGCUGUUUUGUAUUUCUAGUUCCAGCUGGAAACGCGAGUGAUGUAGUUGGCAGAAGCAAUAGCACCAUCUGGUGGAGACAGAUGCUUCCGUGCACAAGCUUUACCGUUCUGAAAAUAUCAGCAAUCCCAAAGAAUAAUUAGUUUUAAAACACAUUCUUAACUCUAAAGCACUCCUGGGAUGCAUAAUAUAUCAGUAACAAAAAAUUUCUCAUAUAUUCUAAUUCUUUAUUGACUGAGCUAGCACUCUUGACCAGUGACAGACUUUUUAUUUUCACAAUACUUAAUUAGGAUUUAAUAUUCUCCCUGUGUCAGACUCAUUUAUUUAGGAUGUGGAUCCUUACGUUUGAGAUUUAACCAUGUUCCAAGGGAUCCAGGCUUCUUUACAUUUAGCAGAGUAACUGAAUCCUCAGUAAGAAUGAAGGAAUAAACAGUAGAUUUCAUUGUUCUUUUCUGUCUCCUACCAUGUAUCAGAAACACACCUCCAUCUUUGAAUGACAGAGUUCCUUAGCACUGGGCUGGGGGAAGGGAGGUCUUUUUUAUCAUUGAGAAACUAGAACAACUGUAUCCGGAGCUUAGCCAAGAAUUCAUAUCUGUGAUAACUAAACAGUCAUCUAGAAAUUUUAUCUGGUCCACUAAAAAAAAAAUCUCUAGCAGAAUGUUUCAUUUGCAAUCAUAAACUCAUUGAACAAUUAAAGAAUGAAUGAGACUUUUAAAUGUGAGUGGUUCACCUUCCAAAUGCCCAGUCUUCUCAAGUUUAUUAUCCCUGUUUUAUCUGCAUCAAGUAUGGAGUUCAUCUUCCUGGGAAAGUUUGAACUUCUGAACAAUCUCACAUUUCUUCAGAGUUUACAGUCGGUGUGAAUUAUGCAGAAAUUUACAAAAUCUUUUUUUUUUUACGCUUCAAAACUUAAAAGUACAAAGUAAGUCUCCCUUCCUCCCCCAAAAAUAUUCCCCAGGUAUCAGUUCACUUCUCUGGGAUAGUAAUAUUGCAAGUUGUCUGUGAAAUGUUACCAAAAAUAUUCUGUGCUUAUAGGAAAUUUAUUGCAUCAAGGAUACGCCACAGAAUAUUUUGAAUUUGCAUUUAUCACUUGAAAGUAUAGAUUUUUUUAUUUUUUAUUUUUGGUACCGGGGAUCGAACUCAGGGUCCUUGCGCUUUCACGGCAGGUGGCGGAACCACUGAGCUAAAUCCCCGACCCGAUCACUUGAAAAUAUAGAUUGGAGAUUGUUCUGUAUCAUUACAUUAGUGCUACCUUGCUUAUUUUUUCAGCUGUGCAAUAUUCUAUUGAGUGAAUAUUGCAUGGUUUACAUAGCCAGUCUCCUCUUGAAUUUGUUUCCAGUAGUUUGAUGUACAAACAGUGCCUCACUGGAUAACAUUUACAUCCGCUGCUUUGCAUGCAUUGCAGUCUACCUGCUGGAUGUAUUUGGAGAAGUGGAAUUGCUAGGUCAAAUGGUUUUCACAUUUGUAAUUGUGAGAAAUGCUCUCCUCCUUGGAAGUCAUUUGUACUGACUUACAAGAACGUAGGAUGCCCCAUGCCCUCAUUAACUGUUUUUAAAAAACAACUUUUGGGGCCAGGGAUUUAGCUCAGUGGUUCCACUGCCUGCCUCGCAAGUGCAAGGACCCGAGUUCGAUCCCUACUACCAAAAAACCCACAACUUUUGGACUUUGACGAUCUUAUAGGUAUUAUAUUUGAAUUUAAUGAGUAGCAGGUUUCACAGUUUUCUUACUAUGAAUUUGGUUUAACGAGCAUGAAGUUUUUCAUGAGACCUGAUCACCGAGUCAAUUCUUUCUCCAAAGUUACUUUAGCAAAUAUACUGAUUGUUUAAAAUUUUAGUUUUUAGAAUAGGUAAAAAGUGGCUUCAAUUUUAAACACCUUCCAAAAUUACUCAUUUAUGUUCUCCUCCUUCUUUUCAUUUCCAGUAGUGGAUUUACCAUAAAGCUAGAGAAGCUUAAGCUUUAGACCCCUUUCUAAAUCCCCAAACUAGUUUUGUACUCAUAAUUUGACAUUCCUUUUCUUAAAAAUGUUGUCCAAAGUUAUAGAAGCUUCAGGCUGGAUACGCCCCUGUCUUCCCAGUUUCCAACCUCUCAAUUUCUUAUGUGUCCCUCUGGAUUACUUUAUGCACAUAGAAAUAUAUCCAGAAACGGAUUAUUCAUACUUUUGCUUUGUACGCUUGCUUUCCUCAAUGUGUCUUGGAUAUAUUCUGUGUAAAUUAUAGAGAAGGUUCAUGCCCUUUCUUUGUUUUUCAUUUUUUUUUGACAGUUGCAUGGUCUUCCAUUGUAUGAAGUUAAGCUCUUUAUUUCAUCAGCUCUUCACUGGUACGCCUUAGUGUAUAUUUGUUUUGUUUCAUUUCUGCCAUUUUCUUAAGUGUCCGGGCAGGUUUUGGAGCCCUGAAUGACAGUCAAGAAUCUGGUAGAGCCACAGGCUUCAGAAGAGGUGGGAAUUAAAUGGAUGAAAUUGGCAGGAGGAAUCCCAGCCUUGCUUACCCUCCACCCUCUUCAGGUAUCUACAACUCUAACUCUUUUCAAAACAGGUCCCUGGAAGCCUGCUAUUCAUAGCCUAGUGUGAAUCUGUGCAUCUGCAUGCUAAGUUUAUCUAUGAUUAUGAAACACAAGAUUGUCUUGCUAAAGCAUUUCUAACAAUCUGAAGACAGGAGGGAAACACAAUUAUCAGUCUUCAGAUGGUAUAAAAUCAUACUGGGCAGGUAACAGGUGGGAUAGAUAGCCCAUGAGGACACAUUAGUCUACCAGAGGCCUUGCUACAACCCACUAAAUAACUGCCACUACUCACACAGUAAUGUUUUAGUGUCCUGUGUCUGAUGGGAAGGGUUGAACAGCUGAUAUCUUCUAUGCCAGGAGAUUCAAUCGUUUUGAGACUAGACUCUUUAUACCCUCUUCAGUCAUUACUUCCCUUCUCAUUCAAGACAGUACACACCAUGAAAAUUACAUUUCGAAUAGCUGGAGAUGCAGCCUUUCCAUUCUCCUUAUCCUCUUAAAGUGUCAGCUGCCCCUUCUUCCAUCAGAACCUGUUUUCUGGAAAGGAUCAUGCACCUGUCUAAUUUGGUUACUGCAAAUCUAACCGAAUCCUCAGUGUCACUUUUAGUUCAUAUAUCAGUGUUAUAUAAAACUUCUUUAUGUGAAUAGUUGCAUAGUAUUCCAUAGUAUAGAUAUAGAAUAUUUUAUUUAACAACCCCAUUUUUCACUAAUGUUAGGUUAUUUGUGACAUUUUGCUCAAAUAUGACUCAAAUUUAAAAUUUAAUAUUUUAAUAUGGAUAUGUAUAUAUUUGGAGACAUGUAUGUGAAACUAUUUCUGUAGGAUAUGUUCCUAGAAUUAGAGUUCCUCAAGAGGUGUAAACAUUUUAAUUCUUGAAGAGAUAUUUCUAAAUUUCCCCCAAAUCAAUUUAGAUUCCUGUCAAGAUUAUGAAUUGGGAUCCACAUGCCCACAUGCUCAGCAACAGUAUAAAGUAUCAGUCUUUCUAGUUUUGUUUAUCUGAUGGGAAAAAUGUUCUUUCAUGUUUUAAAAGCCAUUUCUCUAAUUUCCAGAGGGCCGGUGCAUCUUUCAUCAUGUUCUGAGAAUAGUAAAUGUUUCUAUUUGAGUUUGUAUAUUUAAUUUCCCAAUUGGAAAAAUGGCUUGAAUAUUACUAUUAUGUUCAUGGUAUAUAUAAAGACUAUGUUAGCUAUAUUCUUACUUUCUCUUAAAGUGGUUUUUCAAGACAUUAAAGCUGUUUGUGUAUGUGUGUAUAUGUGUGUGUGUAUGUGUGUGUGAAGGUGUAUCUUUUUAAAAAUGUUUUUUAAUUGGUGAAAUUGUAUAUAUUUAUUGUGAAAAACAUGAUGUUUUGAAAUAUAUGUUCAUUAUGGAAUGACUUAAAUUAGCAUAUGAAUUGCCUAAGGUAGUUAUCAUUUUUGUGGUGAGAACAUUUUAAACUUAUAUCCUAGCAUUUUUCAAAAAUACAAUAUAUAGUUCUUAACUGUAGUUGUCAUGUUAUACAGUAGAUCAUAAGUCUGAUUUUCUUAACCCUUACAUUAACCUCGCCAGAGAAAGGUUCCAUAAGGCUGUGUCACAGGGAGGCCAGGCCCUAUGCUCAGUGGUUAUGGGUGUGGUCUUCGGAAUCAGGCUGACCUGGUUUAGACUCCGGGUUGAGUCAUAUUUCUUACAUUUUCUGUGCCUCUGUCACCUCUUUUGUAAAGUGAGUGCCAUAAAAGUUGUAAACUCACAGAAUUUUCCUGAGGCUUAUUUGUAUUUUUUAUGUUUUGGAAGUGCUGGAGAUGAGACCGGGAGCCUCGCACAUGUGGGACAAGCGCUCUGCCACUGAGCUGUCCCCCAGCACUGUCGUAAACUCCAGACAGGAUAAUAACACGAUGCAUGUAAUUCAGCACAGUUCCAGACACUUCCAAGUGCUCAGUAUUUGCUAUCCAUUAAAAUUAUUAUUUAUAACGUGGACAACACAUGCAGAGAAUUAGAUAUUUCAGUUUUAUUCUAGGUCCUAGAAACUUUCCCAGUAAAACUUAUUCUUAGUAAUAUCCUAAAAGACUAAUACAGUCCUCUUUUAUUAGAGUGGGGAUUUCUCAUUAUGUUUUAGCCAGUCAUAUGAAUUUUCUGUUUCUUAGAGCAUGAAAAUAAUUAACUCACCCAUUAAUUCAGUGUUUACUCUUAAGUUCUUACUGUGUUUAAAGCCUGAGAGAUUCAGUUCUCUUCAAAAGUCUAUUUCACUUUCUCUGUAUGAAACUUAUUCCACAUUCCUUUAAACUGUGAAAAUCCUAAUUUAUACAAAAUGCAAGGAAACAGGAAAGAAGCUUAAAGGCAGUUUAGUUCAACUUUUUAUUUUAUAGAUGUAAAAACUGAAGCCCAGAGGCAGGAAGCAACUUUUCUAAGGUCACACCGUGCGUAAGUAUGGGAACUGGGAUGAGAAGCCAGACAUCCCAGCUCUACAGCAGCACUCUGUGAAACCAUACCAUGUUCAAGGAUCCACUUCUGUUAACCCAACAUGACUUCAAAAAUCCUGACCUUGGUAUAAUUCCAAAGGAAAUGAAAUCACCAACUUGUUAAAAUGUUAUCAUUCCCAUGCUCUUCUCAGCACUAUUCAAAAUAGGAAAGAUACGGAAACUACCUAGGUGUCUAUUGACAAAUAAAUGGAUAAAAAAUUUUGGCAUAUAUUUAUAAUGAAACAUUAUUCAGCCUUUAAAAAUUAGGAGAUCUUACCACUUGCUACAGUUUGGAUGAACCUAGAGGAUAUUAUACUUGGUGCAAUAAACCAGACACAAAAAUACUGCAUGAAAUCUAAAGAAAAUGUAAUAUAUAGAAAGAUGGAGAAUAAAAACAGUGAUUAUGAGGGUCAUAGUGUGGAAGGAGGACUAGGAAUGCAUUGUUUCAAAGGAUACAUGUAGCAAAUAUAGAGGAUGAACAAUCAAAAGAUCUAAUGUACAGCACAAAGAUUACAGCUAAUAAAAUUGUAUUCAGAAUAAAGAUUUGAGGGAAUGUGAAGAUUACAGCAUCUUUUGUUUCUAUGUGUGGUGAAGGAUAUCUUGAUUUGUUCCACUAUCGUAACUAUUUUCUUAUAUAUUUAUAUGUAUCUUUAAAGAUCAUGCAGUAUAACUUAAGUAUACACAAUAAAAUUCAUUUAAAAACAUUAAAAACAAAUAUACAAAAACACAGGUUUUAAAAUGAUAAAAAUGAAACACGGCUGUCUGAAGUUUGUCAAGAAAGAUAGAACCUAACACACUUCCCUACCUAUUUGAAGACAAUAGUACUGUGAAGUCCAGUAGCAUAGCUUUCUAGGUCUUUUUCAUUUUUGUCUACUCUCAACUACCCACAUAUAACAAGAAUGCACUGCACUCAAGGUAGACAGUACCAGUGAUCCUACAGAUCAGCUUCUGGCAGCCCCUGGCCCACAUGCCAGAGAUGGUACAGGUGCCAAUUUCUGGUGGGAAGUGAGCCAACUGCCACACACAAUUCCCACCCUCAUCGUUUUCAGCAGAUAUCAUGUCCACCCUCUUGCCCAUGUCAUCCGAGGCAACACCCUGACAAGGCUUUCCAUAUGGCCCCAUCUUGGCCUUCCAAAACCACAGGCUCAGUAAUUCAACACACACAUUAGAGAAACCAAUGACCGCUGAUUCCUAUAAUAAAAAUGAAACAUUCUCAGCAUGUUUAAACAGAAUGUUCAUUUAUUUUCUUCUUUAUGAUUAUAGAGUAAUAGAAUGUUCUUGAUUAUUAAUAUAUAUCAUAGAAUAUGCCAAAGCAAGAAUUAGGCAAAUCUAAUGAACUUGCCUAACCUUAAAAGAAUAAAAGGCAACACAUCCCCAGCCCCCAGCCUAUAUAUUAUGGGUAGAAAUCUGGACCCACUGACCAUUUAGUUGUUCAUUUAAACUUUAGUUCCGGUUUAUUGAGCAUCUACUAGGAAUGGUCCUGUUGCUGGCUGUUCAGAGCACGAAUAUCCAUAAGUCCUCUACAAAAGGCUGCCUCAGAGUUCAUGUACACCUGGCUGCUUAGUCUUGAGUUACUUUCUACCACUGAAUAAUUCUGUGAUGUUAAGCAAAUAAAUUUGCUUCUUUAAACUUUAUUUUCCCAAUCCUUAUGUAAGGGUAGUAUUAGUCCCUACUUUGCAUAUUUGAUUAUAAGGAUAAUAUUAAGGCAUUUUAGAUGGUGCCUAAAACAGUCAAUUCUCAAAAAUUAUCAACUACAAUUAAGUUUCUCCUGUACUAUAACCCGAAAUUAGAAAGCCUGUAAGAGGGUUAGAAAUCAGAAGGUCAAUUGACACUGAAAAUUUGGAAAUUAGGGCAACCAACAGUUAAAAGGUCCUUAAUAUGACAAGAUUUUGGUGAUUACUUGCUGUGUGACAGGGACAUGUAUGUGUUGGGGAUGAAGAAAUGAACCAAUUCUUGAACUUCUACUUGUGGAGAGAUGGCAUAAAAUUGAGAACUGUAAAUCCCGGGUUAAGGAUUAUUAAAAAGCUGGAAUUCUGAAAUCACUUGUCUUGGGCGAAGUCCCCUGUUUUCUUGGUGGAUGGGCUGGGACUAGGAUUAAAGGUAGGGGGGUUUCCCUGGGACCUUUGCCCAUGACCCACAGAGAGCACUGAGCUUGGAGUCAGCUUGGGCUCCUGGUCAGGAUGGUCCCUGCAAGGCUUCCAUGCCUCUAGAGGGACAGAAAAGCCAUGUGUGCAACAGUUUGGGGACCUGUCAGCACCAAUACUUCUGUCUAAAAGAGCUGCAGUCCCAACUCAGAAAGUCUACACACCCUGCCAGGGUUAAAAUGAUUUCUGACAUAAUGACAAUACUAACAAUAUAUCUUAUGUUUGUGUGACCCUUCAUGUCUUCAAAUGAUGUCCACCUGCAUCUCUGUCACUAGCAGUGUUCAGUAGCCCCCUGAAACAGCCCAAAGAACUCUCUUUAUGCAUAACACAGGUUGUAAUGGAGCACACAACAUUGCUGUGGAGCUAAGUCACCAUUUAAAGCCUUUCUUAGGAGCUACUGGGAUUAUAAAUUGUAUAUCUUGUUUGGAUAAACUAUAAGAAGACUUUUUAAUGCCCUUCAAUUGGUGAACCAUGAAUUUAAAACUGUGAUGUCAACAUCUGUGUUAUCCUACCAGUUCAAAGAAUGUGGCCUUGUAAAGACAGUCUUUCCUUGCUACGUCAUCCUUAUGUUUGCACACUAGUGGAAAGUCAAUCUGGAUUUUUCAGCAAAUGUUAGUACUUUUUUGUGUGGGAGCCAGUGCUUGUCUUUGGCUGGAGGUAAAAAAUGUUCUUUCUAUUCUCUUCCUACUUCUUCUGAAACUUCAUAAUCUUUCUUUUUAAUAUCAACUAUGGUUAUUGGUUUGGGAAUAAAAUUGCCUAAAUUUGAUCUUAGGCCAGAUAUUUAUUGGCUGGGUUCAUUUAUUAUAUUGUUUAGUCUCUCCGUAUCUCUGUUUUCCCACAUAAAAGUUCUUAAUGAUAGCUCCUACUUCAUAAGGUUGUUAUGAUGAUUAAAGAGCUAAUACUUAUACAGGUGCCCUCAGUAGGGGUGUGUGUGUGUGUGUGUGUGUGUGUGUGUGCAUAUGCACAGAUAUGUAAGUGGCGUAUGUGAAACUAGAGAUGUCUUCGUUCUGAGUCUUAUCACCAUUUUCAAUUCUAAACUGAACCUGUAAUAUGAGUGAGAACAGUCUCCAAUGCUACACUCUGUGUUCUUCUAAGACCCUGGAUCUGCUUUGCAAAUAUGCCCAUAGGACUCAUAGACCAGGACAGGAAGAUUUCCACACACAAUCUCAGACUCGCCUGGCCUCAUCAUGCCAUGUAUUCAUGGAGAAAAAAACCCCUGCAUUCACCAGACAUAGCCUACAUUGGGAUAAAAUGAUUGAACUCUUAAUGUAGAUAAAAAUGUACUACAUUACCCUGGUUAAUUUUGGUUUGAGAGUCAGAUUGGGUAUGAGUCUAACAUUUACUAUUUGCUUAAUGCUUGCAUUCAUAAACUGAGAUGAUAACAAGACAUGGAUUUGCUAAAAUGAUAAAUGAGGUUCUUUGUAUAAAGUACCUGUAAACAUGCAGUGGAUGCCAGAGAAUAAGCGCUAAGUGGUUAUAUUAUUAUUGAAACACCCUUUUCCAUUCAGGUGCCUCUGCUUGUGUCUUUCCAUGUACACUUAAUGUAUCAUGUUUCUGGAAAAAUGAAACCAAUAAAAUACAUAUAAUUAUAGGAAAGGAUUUCUUCAAUGGGCUCACAAAAUCAGAGGCUGGAUAGGCCACCUGCAAGCUGGAGGGGCAGAGGAACUGGUAGCUACACUGAGCAUAAUGCUGAAAGGCUCAGAACAAGAGAGGAUGAAGAUGCAUCCUUAGUCUGAAGCCAGAGGCUGAAAACUCCCAUGGAGAGCCACUGGUGCAAGGGCUACUUUCAAAGGCUGAAGAACUUGGAGCUGAUUCUACAGAUGAAAGAGCAGAACAAUGCAUUUUCCCAAGAGGAGUAAAGUGUGGGCAAGAGCAAACACUUUCAGCUUUUGUUGUUCUUGCAUCUGGGCCCUCAGCCUAUGGGAUAGGCAGGUUGCCCUUAUUCACUUCACUGACCUACACACCAGACUUCUCUGGAAACGCCCUCAAAGACAGACCUUGAAGCGUGCUUUACCAAUUUUCUAGGCAUCCUUCAAUGCAGUCAAGUUGUCAGCCAUGGUUAAGCAUCACACAUGGCCCUUAGAAGGUGAGUUUUGGUGCUAACUGCUCCCAUGGAGGGGAGCAUGUGUUUAGUCAGACAAUCAUGGAGAAGGUAAGAAGAGUUUAGAAAGAAGUGGCCAUUUACACUCUAGAGGAGAGAAAACUGUGGGUGUUUGGUUGAGGAAUUCCCCACAACUGACUGCUGAAUGUGGGUUCACUCUGACCACAGAUAUUGUCCAUAGAUGACAGGGUUUAAUCAAUAAAAGUCCAUUUCCCAUAAGCCUGAGCAGGCAUUGAGUUGCAUUGAUUCUGUGUAAGAGGAAGAACAGUUGAGAGGAAACAAGCAAAAUUGGGGUGAAAAUGGACAGAGGUGUCGGUGGUCUCUGGAGGUCUCUGCCUGUGGCUGCAGUGUUUUUAAACUUAG